RNAcentral lists this long non-coding RNA (1951 nucleotides) under Homo sapiens (human). Its description in RNAcentral is "HSALNT0302108". Lineage: Eukaryota; Metazoa; Chordata; Mammalia; Primates; Hominidae. The record is from RNAcentral.
UGACAGAGUGAGACUCCAUCUCAAAGAAAAAAAAAAGAGGAAUAAGGGCUCAAACUAGAGCUGAAGUCAGGCUGUACACUUCAACUGAGGGAAGCCAUCAGGGUGGACUAGAAUUUGAGCUUAGUCUGCAAUCAAGUAGGGAAGUACAACAGAAAGAACACCCAUUAACUCUGGUUAGGUUGUAUUCUAGAACUUGGAGAAGGAGCCAAGGGUCUGAGCAGACCACAGGCCGAGUUCAGCAAUGGUGCCAAUCACUCUCAAGGCGUGCAGUUCCCUAGAAGCAUUCAUAAGAACUCAGCUCAGGACUUAAAGGGACCCUAUCAGCUCUGAGGCCAGAUGUUGUCAACUGACCUUAAAUCAUUGAGGUGAGGAAACAUCAGUCCAGUGAGAGUGGCAUGUGUGGGGAGGAGCCCAGGCUUGCUCUGACCUCUCUCUGGGGCCCCCCACUCCAGAAGGUUGGAACAGCAUUCUACAGCAUUCCAGGAUGUGGAGGGGGCAGCAGUGUUUGUGUGCAGAGUGGCGAGGCCGACCUCCGAUGAGCUUCCCGUAGGAAGGGUGCAGUGGGGGGUGCUCACCCUGCCCAGGGAUGCUAUCUGCUCCAGGACUUGUUUAUCAGCCCACGGGGUGAUCGGCAUGACAUCAAUGGAUAUGCCAGGCUGCAGGCUACAGUGCCGAGAAGGAGAAGACGGAGGCGGUGGUGAUGUCACCCAAGGAAUUAAGUAAGCAGGGGAGCUGAUAACAUCGUCCAGCCAGGCUCACUGUGGGCAGGGUGACUCACUGAAGACGGCCUGCGAUCGCCAGGUGAUUGUUGUUGUGCCCAGCCUGUGGGGCUGGGGAGGAGGAAGGGGGGCAGGCCACAGAGCUGUGACAAGUUCCUCACCGAGGCCCCUGCUCAGGGGAGAGACCUCAGUACACAGUGUCCUCCACCUCUGAGCCCGGGGCUGGCUCAGGAAACAGCCCCCCUCUGCCUGUGCGAUUAUCUUUGUCCACAGUGUUUGGUGUGUGUUUGUGGGGUGUGUCAGGUGAUUUUCCUGCCCGAAGCCUGCUGGGUGCUCCAGGUACUAGCGAUUGCUCACAGCAGAGCAGUAGCCCCCUCCCUGGUUGGACAACUGUCUGUGGAGACAACACCGGAUGGCAAACUGCUAACCGCAACCACGUGGCGUCCUUACAGAGGGAACAGCCUGUUCCUCCCGCUGAGGGCACCUGCAGACCUGCCCCAUUCAUGGCUCCCUUCUCCCUCAGUCCCUGCUGAGGGGAUGGUCCCUUCCCACCCUUAAGGGCACCAUGGACUGUUGUCCAAGUUGAGAACUGUCCAACUGCAGGGGGCACCAUUCACUUGGCAGUCUUCGUGCCAGAUGCUAUGGCUGUCCACAGUGGCCCUGCCCCUUCCCUUUUGUAAAUUACUUCUCAGUUCCCUCCUCCACCAGAAUUAUCACACCAAACUUUCCCCCAUGUAUGCUUGCUUCUUUAUCACCUGACACUCUCAUUCAUUCAUUCCACAAAAAAAUUGUGGCGUUUGUGCAAGGUACUAUUCUAGGCAAGGGAACAAGACAGACCCUCCUGGAGCUCAUGGAGUUCAUAUUCUAGCAUGGGGGAGAACCAAUAAAUAAAUAAUUGGAUACAUAAAACUGCAAGUGACAAUAAGUGCUACAAAGAAAACUAAAGCCAGCCCAGGAUAGAGGGUGAUAGUGCCCUACUUCAGCUAGGACUGCCAGAAAGGCUUCUCUGUGGGGAGGUGGCCUCUGAGGGGAGACCUGGAGGCAGCAAAGGAGGAAGCCUUCCCGGCAGAGCCCCUCCCAUUGGCACCCAAUGCCAAAAGAAGUUUCUAUAACCCGUCCUGGUUCUGCCAGGAGCCUGCGGCAUGGCCUGGGGCGCUCAAUUCCCAGUGCAGGGUGUCUAUUUCUUCCCCCAACAAACAAGAGGCCUAGUCGCAUAGUCUCUUCCAGCACAA